GUUCCAACCAGCUUUGAGGGAAGAGGAGUUUAGGUUGGAAGAUUGUCCUGGAGAGAAAGCACUCUGUCCCCCUACCCACUGGGAGUUCUUUACCUGGAAGCUAUCCAUGUACCCUACAUGACUAUGCUUGUUAUGUACGAGCAGUUGUGGGGGCCUUGAGAAUGAACAGCACUCGUGUGGAGUUUCCUGUGACACCUCUGCAAGAGCGCUACUCAGCUGGGAUCCUGCUGAUGACUUCGGAUGCUUCACAGACCUCAGGUGCUCAUGCGUGGGUGUCUGCAGAACAAAUAACUUCGGAUGACGCAAGCAAGUGAGCCAAGCCAUAUGUUGCAGAGGAAAGCAUCCUUGCCUUCUCUCCAUGAUGGUUGGCCAAUGGGACCUGUAGGUCCAGUGCCAUGUGCCAACACCUCCUCAAAUUUUCUCUCUUCCACUACUUUCCCCUCAGUGACACCAAACAAAUUUCUGCUGACACACAGGAUGGGAGUCUGACCUGCACCACUGGCUUUGAUCAACAUUGCAACUGUGAAAGAAGCUGCAGCCAUGGCUUCUCAUUCCUCUGCUGGUGGGCGAUGGGACUGGGGUGGGGUGGAGGAGCAGCACAAGGGUCCCUGGAGUUGCAUAUUCUCAUAGUCUAGGGAAAUUAAAUAUGUGAGUGUGAGAUGACUGACCUCUGGUUUUGACCUGGCAACUAUAUACCACCUCGCCCCCAGAUUGGAGUAUCCUAGGGAUCGCAUCAUUGCAAUGGAGUAUGCCCUUAUAAGCAUGCAAAUCACUUCUGGAGGUUCAAGCUGCUAGCAAAUCCUAAAUGUCCAUAUGAUUAACAAAGGAACUAAGCUUUCUGCAGAUGGAUGCAACAGGCUUGCCUCACUUAGCUGCUACCUUUCCCCAGAUCUCACCUCACCCAGCCUGAAUCUGUAUCCUUGCUUUGCUUUGUGUAGCUAAUCCACUAAUCCCUAUAAGGUCUGAAAAGGAAAUGUGGACUGACCCCUUCGCAUGCAACUGGAUGUCCAACUUUGGCCAGAGCAAAUGAGUAAAAGGACCAAGACCAUCCCCCAUCCCCACACAUCUUCAUACUCCUCACUUGCUGGGGCUGAGGACUCCAGAAUGUCAUGCCACCUG
Molecule: long non-coding RNA, 1119 nt
Organism: Hemicordylus capensis (graceful crag lizard)
Lineage: Eukaryota; Metazoa; Chordata; Lepidosauria; Squamata; Cordylidae
Exons: 3
Source: RefSeq, a predicted model, not a curated record